This 492-nucleotide ribosomal RNA is filed under the name uncultured bacterium. RNAcentral describes it as "partial 16S ribosomal RNA". It matches the Rfam family "Bacterial small subunit ribosomal RNA", at positions 29 to 507 of the family's 1533-position model. The record is from RNAcentral.
AGUGAACGCUGGCGGUAGGCCUAACACAUGCAAGUCGAACGGCAGCACAGUAAGAGCUUGCUCUUACGGGUGGCGAGUGGCGGACGGGUGAGGAAUACAUCGGAAUCUACUUUUUCGUGGGGGAUAACGUAGGGAAACUUACGCUAAUACCGCAUACGACCUACGGGUGAAAGCAGGGGAUCUUCGGACCUUGCGCGAUUGAAUGAGCCGAUGUCGGAUUAGCUAGUUGGCGGGGUAAGGGCCCACCAAGGCGACGAUCCGUAGCUGGUCUGAGAGGAUGAUCAGCCACACUGGAACUGAGACACGGUCCAGACUCCUACGGGAGGCAGCAGUGGGGAAUAUUGGACAAUGGGCGCAAGCCUGAUCCAGCCAUACCACGUGGGUGAAGAAGGCCUUCGGGUUGUAAAGCCCUUUUGUUGGGAAAGAAAAGCAGCAGGUUAAUACCCCGCUGUUCUGACGGUACCCAAAGAAUAAGCACCGGCUAACUUCGUG